Molecule: transfer RNA, 77 nt
Filed under: Escherichia coli
Lineage: Bacteria; Pseudomonadati; Pseudomonadota; Gammaproteobacteria; Enterobacterales; Enterobacteriaceae
Also listed under: 9 other names
Description: tRNA-Lys
Rfam family: tRNA
About the family: Transfer RNA (tRNA) molecules are approximately 80 nucleotides in length. Their secondary structure includes four short double-helical elements and three loops (D, anti-codon, and T loops).
Source: RNAcentral
CCGUCACUAGCUCAUCAGGAAAGAGCAUCAACCUUUUAUGUUGAGAGUGCGGGGUUCGAGUCCCCGGUGACGGUCCA